RNAcentral lists this transfer RNA (105 nucleotides) under Pelodiscus sinensis (Chinese soft-shelled turtle). It matches the Rfam family "tRNA". From Rfam's summary of the family: Transfer RNA (tRNA) molecules are approximately 80 nucleotides in length. Their secondary structure includes four short double-helical elements and three loops (D, anti-codon, and T loops). The record is from Rfam by way of RNAcentral. Lineage: Eukaryota; Metazoa; Chordata; Testudines; Trionychidae.
GACACUAAGGCACAAUGGAAAGCGUGUUGGACUUUUAAGCUUUGGUGCUCACUGUGACCCAGGUCACUCAUUCAAAGGUUGUGGGUUCAAAUCCCACCAGAUUCA